GCUCUGUGAUGUGCUUCCUGACC
RNAcentral lists this non-coding RNA (23 nucleotides) under Cricetulus griseus (Chinese hamster). The record is from RNAcentral. Lineage: Eukaryota; Metazoa; Chordata; Mammalia; Rodentia; Cricetidae.